Molecule: long non-coding RNA, 214 nt
Filed under: Manihot esculenta (cassava)
Lineage: Eukaryota; Viridiplantae; Streptophyta; Magnoliopsida; Malpighiales; Euphorbiaceae
Description: long non-coding RNA (MESC_LNC001499)
Source: RNAcentral
UCUAUAGGAAUCUUGAGAGGCUGGCUGAAACUAUGGAGAGUUUGAAAGAUUCACAGGCUUUCACUUCUACAAGAAUGCCUUAAAGAACUCUUAAUUCCAAUAGGCCUCAAGUCCGAGAUGAAGAGUUGAUGCGCCAGAGAUUCAUCCCUAUUAUAAGGAAUUGAACAAUAGGUUGGCAAGACUAGUGCAAGGAGGGAAGUUGGAGAAAGAAAAG